RNAcentral lists this ribosomal RNA (286 nucleotides) under uncultured bacterium. RNAcentral describes it as "partial 16S ribosomal RNA". It matches the Rfam family "Bacterial small subunit ribosomal RNA", at positions 334 to 615 of the family's 1533-position model. The record is from RNAcentral.
AUGCCCUACGGGGCGCAGCAGUGAGGAAUAUUGGUCAAUGGACGCAAGUCUGAACCAGCCAAGUAGCGUGCAGGAUGACGGCCCUCCGGGUUGUAAACUGCUUUUAGUUGGGAAUAAAAGGGGGCUCGUGAGCCCCGUAUUGUAUGUACCAACAGAAAAAGUACCGGCUAAUUCCGUGCCAGCAGCCGCGGUAAUACGGAAGGUCCGGGCGUUAUCCGGAUUUAUUGGGUUUAAAGGGAGCGUAGGCCGGCUUUUAAGUCAGCUGUGAAAGACCGCGGCUAAACCG